Molecule: long non-coding RNA, 903 nt
Filed under: Scophthalmus maximus (turbot)
Lineage: Eukaryota; Metazoa; Chordata; Actinopteri; Pleuronectiformes; Scophthalmidae
Description: lncRNA (ENSSMAG00000021563.1)
Source: RNAcentral
AAAAAAAAAUAACAGAAAUAUAUUCAUAGUGAAAAUAAUGUUUAAUUAAUAAUUAAUAAUAAUAAUAAUAUUUUUGCAGUUGCAUACUCAGCUCAGGCAAAGUCUUUAUUCUAGGGAAUUCAUUUUAAACUGCUGUUUUGUUUCAGUUCCACCUGACAACAACAACAACAACUUUUCUUUAUCUCUGUGUCUUUAUCUCUCCAUGCACCAUCGUUAAAGGCGUGACUGACCUUUUCUCUGGCAGCCUGUCUAACCACCCUGGGGUAUAUGAUGGCUGGAGGAUCGGCUUUAAUUGACGUGAUAGCACCCCUGAGGUCAGGCAAGAGUCGAGUUCUGUUGACCGUCUGUUUCAAGAAAUGCUGCAGCCUGACUAUCACGUGCUGAUAAUCCAUAAUGCAGUCGAUCUACCAAGGAUCCUCAUCGAGGACGGCGAGCAGCAGGGUGAGUUGAAACGUGGACACAAACAGCUCGAUUGUUCUCUUGUAGGAUAACUCGCGAAGUGGCGUGCACCCAAGCAAGAAGAGUGGGCAGUUUAAAGCAGCACAAAUGGAACGCACAAUAUGAGCUUUGCCGAUUGAAUGCGUAGAAGAGGAUCAGCUGAGCAGUCAGCUGAUGUGGGCUGGCAUAGAGAUCUCUUCUGUCAGCUGAUGUGCUGCACAGUACCAGCAACCUACUACCUGUACAGGGAAUAAUUGGAUUCUGGAUUUCUAUUAAGUUUUGUUUUAUGGAGCUUAAACCCUCACAUUUCACAAACAUUCUACUGCUUUUGCUAGCGUCAUCAGUUUGUCGAUGUACAGUGUAAUUAGAGUUAUUUCGUCAUAAAGAUAGUCAUUACGUUUCAGUGUUCGCUGGCUUCCUUAACCUGCCUCAUUCACUUCCACUUCCAGCUAUCGUCAAUAAAAG